Molecule: ribosomal RNA, 200 nt
Filed under: uncultured eukaryote
Lineage: Eukaryota
Description: partial 18S ribosomal RNA
Rfam family: Eukaryotic small subunit ribosomal RNA
Source: RNAcentral
GCUCCAAUAGCGUAUAUUAAAGUUGUUGCAGUUAAAAAGCUCGUAGUUGGAUUUGUGGCUUUCUUGAGUGGCCUGGCACCUAGUGCUAGUGUUUGCUUGAGUCGCCAUCCUUGGGUGGAACUUGUGUGGCAUUAGGUUGUCGUGCAAGGGAUGCCAUCCUUUACUGUGAAAAAAUUAGAGUGUUCAAAGCAGGCUUAUGC